Molecule: ribosomal RNA, 450 nt
Filed under: uncultured bacterium
Lineage: Bacteria
Description: partial 16S ribosomal RNA
Rfam family: Bacterial small subunit ribosomal RNA
Source: RNAcentral
GUGGGGAAUAUUGGACAAUGGGCGAAAGCCUGAUCCAGCCAUGCCGCGUGUGUGAAGAAGGUCUUCGGAUUGUAAAGCACUUUAAGUUGGGAGGAAGGGUAGUAACCUAAUACGUUGCUACUUUGACGUUACCGACAGAAUAAGCACCGGCUAACUUCGUGCCAGCAGCCGCGGUAAUACGAAGGGUGCAAGCGUUAAUCGGAAUUACUGGGCGUAAAGCGCGCGUAGGUGGUUCAGUAAGUUGGAAGUGAAAUCCCCGGGCUCAACCUUGGAACUGCUUUCAAAACUGCAUGACUAGAGUACGGUAGAGGGUAGUGGAAUUUCCUGUGUAGCGGUGAAAUGCGUAGAUAUAGGAAGGAACACCAGUGGCGAAGGCGACUACCUGGACUGAUACUGACACUGAGGUGCGAAAGCGUGGGGAGCAAACAGGAUUAGAUACCCCUGUAGUCC